CCUACGGGAGGCAGCAGUGAGGAAUAUUGGUCAAUGGACGAGAGUCUGAACCAGCCAAGUAGCGUGAAGGAUGACUGCCCUAUGGGUUGUAAACUUCUUUUAUAUGGGAAUAAAAUGUUCCACGUGUGGGAUUUUGUAUGUACCAUAUGAAUAAGGAUCGGCUAACUCCGUGCCAGCAGCCGCGGUAAUACGGAGGAUCCGAGCGUUAUCCGGAUUUAUUGGGUUUAAAGGGAGCGUAGGUGGAUUGUUAAGUCAGUUGUGAAAGUUUGCGGCUCAACCGGAAAAUUGCAGUUGAAACUGGCAGUCUUGAGUACAGUAGAGGUGGGCGGAAUUCGAUGUGUAGCGGUGAAAUGCUUAGAUAUCACGAAGAACUCCGAUUGCGAAGGCAGUUCACUGGACUGCAACUGACACUGAGGCUCGAAAGUGUGGGUAUCAAACAGGAUUAGAUACCCUUGUAGUC
This 460-nucleotide ribosomal RNA is filed under the name uncultured bacterium. Its description in RNAcentral is "partial 16S ribosomal RNA". It matches the Rfam family "Bacterial small subunit ribosomal RNA", at positions 338 to 795 of the family's 1533-position model. The record is from RNAcentral.